This 437-nucleotide ribosomal RNA is filed under the name uncultured eukaryote. Its description in RNAcentral is "bacterial SSU rRNA". It matches the Rfam family "Eukaryotic small subunit ribosomal RNA", at positions 635 to 1050 of the family's 1831-position model. The record is from RNAcentral.
UGGAGUAGCUAUCUCGUCGGGGUGGUCAGUUGGUUGUUAUAUCUCCACUAAUAAGCGGAGGAGGGGUAAAACUCUCAAAGUAAGUUAUGUGGGUUAAGGUAUGAUGAUUAAUUGGAGUUCUAGUUCAUUUACUUUGAGAAAAUUAGAGUGUUUAAAGCAGCCUCUUGGGGCACUGAAUACAUUAGCAUGGGAUAAUAAAAUAGGAUCUUCACAAUAUAUUUUAUUGGUUUAAAUUGCGUAUGAAGAUAAUGAUUAAUAGGGACAGGUUGGGGGUAUUCAUAUUGGGUGGUUAGCGGUGAAAAUGCUCGGAUCCAUUCAAGAUGAACUAAAGCGAAGGCAUUUACCAAGGAUGUUUUCAUUAAUCAAGAACGAAAGUUAAGGGGAUCGAAGACGAUUAGAUACCGUCGUAGUCUUAACUAUAAACUAUGCCGACCAGG